Long non-coding RNA from Chelonus insularis, 748 nucleotides. RefSeq lists it as uncharacterized. The record is from RefSeq and is a predicted model, not a curated record. The transcript has 3 exons. Lineage: Eukaryota; Metazoa; Arthropoda; Insecta; Hymenoptera; Braconidae.
CCAAUAAACUUUUUUAAAAAUGUCAAUAGAUUUUUUACCAGCGUAGUGUAAAUAUGUUUCAUGAAAAAAAAAUAUUAAUUAACCUAAGUAGAAAAUAACUUUAAAUUAUUUUGCACAAUGUAAUAAGUGUUUCGCUGAUUCGAAGUGCUGUAUUGUCGUAGUUCAUUCACUAACCAGUUUCAGCGAUCGAAAUCACCAGGUUAAAGACUCUUAGAGGUCAUUAAACGAUGAAGAGUCCAAAGUAGAUGCGUGGGAGAGAGUAAGAGAAGUCGAUACGCACAGCGUCACACCCGACUAACGUCUGGAUAGAAUCUCGAUGUGUUUGAAAGGAUAUCUAAGCAUUCUCUAGGUCUUGAUAGAAAGCUAAACGGGUCUUGAGAAUGAUCUGCCAUCGUAUACUUGAGUCAAGGUCUGACGAUCCAACUACUGCUGCUUUACACAUCGACGCUUGUGUUCAACAGUACAAAAUACGGAAUCUGGGCUUACAUAGCUUAGUGAGAACGUGAUUGAGAAGCAACGAAUUAUCACACAUCAUGCUAAUGAUAAUAUCAAUCAUGUAAAACUAAAGAAGGAUUGAAAUACACAAGGGAAGUAACUUUAAUUUGAUUGAAUAUAUUCCUCCCAAGUUAAGUCUUUAUGUUUGAUUAAAUUGAAUUCAAUUCAAAUUCAACGCCUAGAAAUGAAUAGAAACCUCAGGGCUUUAGAAAUUCAUGUACAAUAUGUAAACUGGAUGUAAAAUUACCUUGAG